GACGAACGCUGGCGGCGUGCUUAACACAUGCAAGUCGAACGGAAAGGCCCUGCUUUUGUGGGGUGCUCGAGUGGCGAACGGGUGAGUAACACGUGAGUAACCUGCCCUUGACUUUGGGAUAACUUCAGGAAACUGGGGCUAAUACCGGAUAGGAGCUCCUGCUGCAUGGUGGGGGUUGGAAAGUUUCGGCGGUUGGGGAUGGACUCGCGGCUUAUCAGCUUGUUGGUGGGGUAGUGGCUUACCAAGGCUUUGACGGGUAGCCGGCCUGAGAGGGUGACCGGCAAAAUUGGGACGGGGAUACGGCCAAGACGCCUAGGGGAGGCAAAAGGGGGGAAAAUUGCACAAGGGGCGGAAGCCGGAUGAAGAAAGGCGGGGUGGGGGAGGAGGGCCUUAGGGUUGUAAACCGCUUUGGCCUGGGACGAAGGGGGGGUGAGGGUAAGGGGUAAAGAAGAACGGCUUAACUACGG
RNAcentral lists this ribosomal RNA (467 nucleotides) under uncultured bacterium. Its description in RNAcentral is "partial 16S ribosomal RNA". It matches the Rfam family "Bacterial small subunit ribosomal RNA", at positions 28 to 506 of the family's 1533-position model. The record is from RNAcentral.